Molecule: non-coding RNA, 37 nt
Organism: Rivularia sp. PCC 7116
Lineage: Bacteria; Bacillati; Cyanobacteriota; Cyanophyceae; Nostocales; Rivulariaceae
Source: Rfam
GUUGAAACUCACCUUAAUCCCUAUUAGGGAUUGAAAC